CGUGGGAAGUUUUGUUUUGGAAACAUAAAAAUGGAAACAAAAGAAAGAACAAAGUCUCGAUUUCUUUGCUGAUUUGCUCAUCAAUUUUUCGGAUCUCUCUUCCUUUCUCCUCUGUGGAGUGAGAUUUGUAGGUUGAAGAAUUGUUCAGCCUCUUCAAAUCCGGUGAGCUCUUCAAUUCAAUUUUGCUUCAUUUAAUGGAACUAGCGAAACAGUGAGUGUGUAGUGUAGACUCUCGGUUGCGUUGCAGAGCUCCAUUUUGGUUUACGGUAAUGGCGUCGUCUCUGGACGAAAAGUUCGUCACCGAGGCUUCCAUUGGAGUCGGAACCGUUGUUGACUCCAGAGGAAAGCAUCGCAUUCUCGCCGAACUCAAGCGUCUUGAACAAGAACUCAGAUACUUGCAGGAAGAGUUGGAAGAAGUUGAGAAAAUGGGAAACAUCUCAUCAAUAUGCGAGGACUUGCUUCCCUGCAUCGAAACCAAAUCAGACCCACUUUUGCCUGUGCUGAAUGGUGUUGUAAAUCCACUAUGGCAUCGCUGGUUUGAAGGAUCCCCAAGCUCACCAGAGUGUAGCUGCUGGAUUCUAUAAACAACUGACAACUGUUCCCUUUAAACUUGGAAAAUGUCUAAGAUAUACACACUAAUCGACAUCUUCGAACACCAAAGCUCUGAUUUCUUAGUGGCACAUAACAAAGAAUAGUUUAGUUUGGUGACGAUAAUUGAUUACUACCCUUUCUACUACAAUAUUACUUGUGUAAUAUCUUUUCACUCUGCUUGGGACAGAAAUUGUAGAUUGCAAACAGACUAGCUUGUUGGUAAGACCAACUUCAGCUGUGGUAUCUCUAAAGUUCUUGCUCCAUUGAGGUUGGAUUGUGGAAGCAGCCCAAUGGGCCAAAGACAAUCCCAACCCAGGCCCAAUGUUUAUGAGAUAAUAUGGACGCAUAGGCAUCACAUCCGAGGUUCCAUAUGAGUAUCUUAUUGCUUUGAGAAAAGGUACAUUUUUUAAGAUUCAGAUUGUGAUUAGGAUAUUGAUGUCACUCCUUUUAGAUGAUGUAGAAUAGAAGUGAAAAUCAUUUUAAAAAAAAAAUUAUAUGAUUUUUCAUUAUAUUAGUUAACAUUAUAUUUUCAAAAUG
Benincasa hispida (wax gourd) is the source of this 1128-nucleotide non-coding RNA. The record is from RefSeq and is a predicted model, not a curated record. Lineage: Eukaryota; Viridiplantae; Streptophyta; Magnoliopsida; Cucurbitales; Cucurbitaceae.